GAUUCAGGUGUGAUCGGUGGUGUGGUGGUGAGUGUAAUAUUGCUGAUAGCUGUGGUUUUACUCUUCGUGUACAGACACAAACUUCCCUGGAUACAAGGCUCAUCAGAUUGGAAAACCAAUUCUGGAGACAAUACAGAGGAAGUUCAGGGGAAUCGUUGUGAGGAACUCCAGGAAAAGACGACCCAGGCAGGAAAUGUAGUGUCCUCUGUUUAUGCCACUGUCAACCCUCCUCCAGAUCUGAUACACUACGCCAGCGUCAACUUCCAGAACGACUCUGCUGUGGUCUUGACAGGGUUGGAAACACCAUCUAAGCCAGAAAUAAACACCUCAACUGAAUACUCCUCUGUCCGUAAGAAUGCUGGUCCACUGGCACCAGAGACGACUCUUUAUUCUACAGUCACAAAAUCUGGAGAACCAUGAAAGAAGCAAAAAUCAACGAUGCAGAGUAAACACUGUUUAUAUACCAAGAAUAUUACAAGUGUUUCUCUGCAUUUAGUUUAGAUAGUUUAGUGAGAUUUGUAAUAACAUACCUCAUUGUCUAGGACAAUAUAUAUUGCUUUACAAGCUAGUUAGUGCAUGUAGUGUAGUUUGUCAGUGAACACCAGCUAUAGGUGUAAAUAUUAACAAAUGUUUGUAUGUUGAAUAAAAAAAAAUGAGAGUUCUGCUCACUCACUGAAAAGUCACUGAGAAUAUGUAUAGCACACAGCUACAUGUAUAAGACGUAGAGAAACAAAAGUCUGUACAUAAACAUAUAAAAUAAGGCUUCUGUUUUUUCAGAUAUUCUGUAAUGACGCAAAAAUUAUGAAUUUUUCUGGUUGUCAAUAUGAUCCUCCUUUUUACCGAGGAGAAACAAUAAUUAACAUACUAAUGACCCAAAGAGUGCAUAAUUUACGUGGCUGAAACAGUGUCUAUUGGUUUUUUGUAGAUACAACAGGCAUUUCUGUUUAUUGACACUAUACAGCAUCUUAGUUGAUGGAUCAUUGUUAAGUUGGCAAUUAUUCACAUAGUAGCAUAUGUUUAUGUGUGUAUAUAAAAUGCCCUAAUGCUAAGUGAAUAAUCUGUCAGUACUGCAGUACUGGCUGAUCUGAACCGUCCCUGUUGUGUAAAUGCAUGUAGUUAUCGUCAGGAUGCAGAUACAUUAACAGAUUCAAACCACCUCUGAAAAUCAUUUAUUCCUGCUCAGUCAGUCUUGUAUGUAGGCUGGUAUCAGUUGUUGUUGGUCAGUUGCUGUUUGGAUGUCUGUUUAUUAUUGCUGGCUGUAAAUGAAAUUGCCCCCCAGGGUUAAUAAAGAUUGCUUGUACUUAAUACUAUGAUUUUAGACUUAAACGUUCUGUCUGUCUGUUUGUUUGUUUGUUUGUUUGUUUGUUUGUUUGUUUGUUUGUUUGUUUGUUUAAUCAAAUACAAUAAAGUAUGUUUACA
Molecule: long non-coding RNA, 1419 nt
Filed under: Sphaeramia orbicularis (orbiculate cardinalfish)
Lineage: Eukaryota; Metazoa; Chordata; Actinopteri; Kurtiformes; Apogonidae
Description: lncRNA (ENSSORG00005016825.1)
Source: RNAcentral